GUAUUUAGAAUUAUUUAUUCAAAAUAUCUUCAGACAAAAAAGUUUCAAUAAAGGGUUGGUAUUAUGCUGACGCGACGCGUGAACGACGCGUCAGCAAACAUUGCACACAAGGUGAGUACUUGUUUAAAAAGUGCAGUAGAACACUUAUUAUGAAUGAUCCUUCCGCAGGUUCACCUACGGAAA
RNAcentral lists this unclassified non-coding RNA (183 nucleotides) under uncultured fungus. Its description in RNAcentral is "sequence contains ITS1". Lineage: Eukaryota; Fungi. The record is from RNAcentral.